Molecule: non-coding RNA, 115 nt
Organism: Triticum aestivum (bread wheat)
Lineage: Eukaryota; Viridiplantae; Streptophyta; Magnoliopsida; Poales; Poaceae
Source: Rfam
CAAGUACUCCCUCCGUUUCGAAUUACUUAUCACAAGUAUGGAUGUAUCUAGAUGUAUUUUAGUUCUAGAUACAUCCAUUUCUGCGACGAGUAAUUUGGAACAGAGUGAGUAGUAG